Non-coding RNA from Saimiri boliviensis boliviensis (Bolivian squirrel monkey), 276 nucleotides. The record is from RefSeq and is a predicted model, not a curated record. NCBI's taxonomy places the organism in Eukaryota, Metazoa, Chordata, Mammalia, Primates, Cebidae.
UGGAGAGGGAACAACCAAGGGAGACUGGCAACUUUCUGCCUUGAGUUACUGGAGGAGCUGAUGUCAUCGAGGCUUGAAACAUGACUAGAAGAUAAGAUUUGACUGAAGGGGCCCUUGGAGAUCAUUCUGCCUGUAUCCAUGAGGAGAUCAGAGUUUUGAGCAGUGAGCUCUUAACUGACUGUGGAGAAGAGCUUCCGUUGUGCAGUACUCUCUUGAGUUGAAUGAAGAGCAAACUGGCAGACGUGGUAGCUUAUGCCUGUAAUUCCAGCCCUUUUG